RNAcentral lists this ribosomal RNA (67 nucleotides) under Shigella sp. Its description in RNAcentral is "partial 23S ribosomal RNA". Lineage: Bacteria; Pseudomonadati; Pseudomonadota; Gammaproteobacteria; Enterobacterales; Enterobacteriaceae. The record is from RNAcentral.
AGCGAUGCGUUGAGCUAACGGGUUCUAAUGAACCGUGAGGCUUAACCUUUCAACACCGAAGGUGUUU